This 245-nucleotide ribosomal RNA is filed under the name uncultured Eubacteriales bacterium. RNAcentral describes it as "uncultured Clostridiales bacterium partial 16S ribosomal RNA". It matches the Rfam family "Bacterial small subunit ribosomal RNA", at positions 524 to 769 of the family's 1533-position model. Lineage: Bacteria; Bacillati; Bacillota; Clostridia; Eubacteriales. The record is from RNAcentral.
UACGUAGGGAGCGAGCGUUAUCCGGAUUUAUUGGGUGUAAAGGGUGCGUAGGCGGUUUUACAGGUCUGUGGUUUAAGCCCGAAGCUUAACUUCGGUUCGCCACAGAAACCGUAGAACUAGAGUAUGGUAGAGGCAAGCGGAAUUUCUAGUGUAGCGGUAAAAUGCGUAGAUAUUAGAAGGAACACCAGUGGCGAAGGCGGCUUGCUGGGCCAACACUGACGCUGAGGCACGAAAGCGUGGGGAGC